This is a long non-coding RNA of Alexandromys fortis (reed vole), 2476 nucleotides long. RefSeq lists it as uncharacterized. The record is from RefSeq and is a predicted model, not a curated record. NCBI's taxonomy places the organism in Eukaryota, Metazoa, Chordata, Mammalia, Rodentia, Cricetidae. The transcript is spliced from 4 exons.
UUCUGCUUUCCUGGUCUCUGCAGGAACGGUGGUCCUGUAAGUCUAUUUCUCCAUUAAAGCUGUAUAUAUUUUUACAAUCUGUCUUCAGCCGUUACAGACCCAGGCAGUGGAUAAAAUAACGCUGCAUCUCCAAGCACAGAAAGGAAGAAUGACCCCUGAUCUCAGGCAACCAACCGCCAUGCAGAUGAGUCCUUCCUACAAACGAGCCCCACAUUCGUGAUUGGGAAGCAGGCAGGAAGCCCGAGGGCCGGGCGAGUUUUCCCACAUAGCUGGCCAGUGGGUUGGACUUCUCAGCUACAACAGCAGACUUCAUCUGGAGUUCCAGAACGGACUUGGCAGACCAGGAGACAAGGGCUGUUUUCCUAAGUGACUCUCGAGCACGUAUUUCAGCAGGAAUGUGUCACUGCCUCAGAAGCUUGGGAAGAUCCACAAAGGACUUUGCUCCAGAAGCUCACACAAUGGGAUCCUUUAUGUAACUGCUCCAAGUCGUUAUUUAAGAAGGCUAGGAAAUAAAGAGCUCGACACUUCAGGAAACAAACAGACUUCCUCUUUACCUCAAAGUAAUUGAGCUAUUGGGAGGACGACCUGGUGAGGACUUUUUGUCAGCACACGGGGAAAAGUCUAUUUUAUUAAUACACAUGCACGCACACAUGUGUGCGUGGGCAUGCGCACAGACACACACACACACACAGUACAUACGCAUCUCCUCUUCCUCCUCCCACUAGUAUUUAAAAAUGAAUGACUCAGGCUUUGGAAAACAUGAUCACAAUGGACUAUUACGUCAUCAGGUGAUUAUCACAAAGCUGGGACAAACACUAUGGAUGAAAGGGCUCAGGGAGUGUGACAGUAAGGAUUCAUUUGACAAGAAAGCACUGGGGGCAAGGGACAGAUAGAGGACAAUUUAAAGGUUCCCCUCCAAACAAGUGAAUUUUAUAAAGCUCCACAUCUAGGACGGCAAUCACUUUAAUCAAAGGUGUUUGAUUAGAGGUUUCAUCUCCUGUGGUAGGCAGAACUUGAUUUCAAGCGCAGGCAUGGCUUGUGUCAGCUAGCUGACCUAGAGCUAGGGUUCAGCCCCCUCUACUCUCUGAGGAAGCAUCUCUGUAGGUACACAUUGUCCACACUGCACAGCGAGACCUGGAGCCUUGUCCUGGGGGUUUCCUUGAAGCAAAGGUCCCUAGGGAAAAAAUGUAACACUAGAAAGAACAGAAAGCAAAGAUGGCCUGACGUCAGCAGAUGGUAGACAAACUCCAUCUCAAAGGCUUCAUGGUUGGGUUUAGGACACAAGAGAGAAAUGUGCACCGCAUGCAUCCUUUAACAGGGAGAGAUCUGGCCAGCAACCCUCUCAGAGCUAGACUCAGGGCACAGCCUGAAAGCUGAGCACAGGCAGGAUGAGUGUGCGGUGUGUGUGGGUGUUGUGUUUUCCUUCUGUUUAUGUGAAAACCUCUUUAAAAUUCUUUCUGAAGUUUGUAGUUAAGACUCUGAGGCUCUUUGCAAGGAAGGGUUGGACCAGUCUCAAAACUGCAAAGGUAGUAAGUAUCCUUUCCUUAAGUCUUUGAGGCCAGCACGAUGGUAGACCGGAAACACGGUGCUCUUGGAGCCAUGAACUAAGACCAGAGAACAGCUGCAACAGCCCGAUGCUACCAUGACUACCAGAUGUGGCUGGGGACCAAUCUGCACUAUGAGAGUGAACUGUGGACACCAAGCCACUAUUUACAUAGACAGGUACUGUGAUCUGAUUUGAAAACAACACCUGAGAAGGUCUGUCAUAGAAAGACUCAUCCAUCCAACCAUAAAUUACGGAACGUCCAUCUUGGAACAUGAUGUGAACAAGACAAGCGGGCAGCGGACUUUAACAGAUGAGUGUUGCUGCGUGCAGACAUGAAGACCAGGCUGGCCACUGUGAGCAAUGCCUUCAAGGAAUUAGGAGAAGAAGUGGGGGGAACUACUGGGAAGGUCAAAGCAGCGUCCAGAUGACAGAAGGCGAUGAGGACUAGGCAAGGGUUUCUCAACCUCAAGAUUACUGAGAUCUUGGACCACCGGUUUCCUAUUGUGAAAGCAUCACACUUGGCCUCUUCUCACCAGAUGGCAGAAACCAUUCCCUCCUCCCCAGUCACAGCAAUCAAAAAAGUUCUCCAGAUAUUCCCAAACAUACCCUGGAGAGUCAAACUGUCCCCAUUGAGAAUAAACGGGCUGACGUGUUAACUGCACUGGAAUGCAGAAUCUGAACAUAUUUUAAAGAUAGAGCCGAUGGGAUUUGCUGGCAAGAACAGAUGCAGAGUAUGAGAGAAAGAGAGACGUUAGUGAUAAGAUAUCCCAGGGGGCUUGAUGCUGGGCCACUGAAGAGUGGAGGUGACAAGCAUAGGAAUGAGAAAACUGGAGGAGGGGAGAUCAACUGGAGCUUAGAGUGUGUGGGGUUUGGGGUCCCUAUGAGGUUUCUAUGCACCAAGGGAAAUUAACUGUUGAAGUUCCAAGGAGG